RNAcentral lists this ribosomal RNA (301 nucleotides) under uncultured bacterium. RNAcentral's name for it is "partial 16S ribosomal RNA". It matches the Rfam family "Bacterial small subunit ribosomal RNA", at positions 509 to 809 of the family's 1533-position model. The record is from RNAcentral.
CAGCAGCCGCGGUAAUACAGAGGGUGCAAGCGUUAAUCGGAAUUACUGGGCGUAAAGCGCGCGUAGGUGGUUUGUUAAGUUGGAUGUGAAAGCCCCGGGCUCAACCUGGGAACUGCAUCCAAAACUGGCAAGCUAGAGUACGGUAGAGGGUGGUGGAAUUUCCUGUGUAGAGGUGAAAUGCGUAGAUAUAGGAAGGAACACCAGUGGCGAAGGCGACCACCUGGACUGAUACUGACACUGAGGUGCGAAAGCGUGGGGAGCAAACAGGAUUAGAUACCCGAGUAGUCCCUGUCUCUUAUAA